This 420-nucleotide ribosomal RNA is filed under the name uncultured Bacteroidota bacterium. RNAcentral describes it as "bacterial SSU rRNA". It matches the Rfam family "Bacterial small subunit ribosomal RNA", at positions 79 to 496 of the family's 1533-position model. Lineage: Bacteria; Pseudomonadati; Bacteroidota. The record is from RNAcentral.
CUUGCUUUUCUGAUGACGACCGGCGCACGGGUGCGUAACGCGUAUACAAUCUGCCUUAUACUGGGGUAUAGCCUUUAGAAAUGAAGAUUAAUCCCCCAUAGUCUCUUUUAAUGGCAUCAUUACAAGAGUAAAGGUUACGGUAUAAGAUGAGUAUGCGUUCUAUUAGUUUGUUGGUGAGGUAACGGCUCACCAAGACUGCGAUAGAUAGGGGCCCUGAGAGGGGGAUCCCCCACACUGGUACUGAGACACGGACCAGACUCCUACGGGAGGCAGCAGUGAGGAAUAUUGGACAAUGGAGGCAACUCUGAUCCAGCCAUGCCGCGUGCAGGAAGACUGCCCUAUGGGUUGUAAACUGCUUUUAUACAGGAAGAAACCUUGGUACGUGUACCAAGCUGACGGUACUGUAAGAAUAAGGAUCGG